Molecule: ribosomal RNA, 805 nt
Filed under: uncultured Prochlorococcus sp.
Lineage: Bacteria; Bacillati; Cyanobacteriota; Cyanophyceae; Synechococcales; Prochlorococcaceae
Description: bacterial SSU rRNA
Rfam family: Bacterial small subunit ribosomal RNA
Source: RNAcentral
UAGCGGUGAAAUGCGUAGAUAUCGGGAAGAACACCAGUGGCGAAGGGCGCUCUGCUGGGCCAUUACUGACGCUCAUGGACGAAAGCCAGGGGAGCGAAAGGGAUUAGAUACCCCUGUAGUCCUGGCCGUAAACGAUGAACACUAGGUGUCGGGGGAAUCGACCCCUUUCGGUGUCGUAGCUAACGCGUUAAGUGUUCCGCCUGGGGAGUACGCACGCAAGUGUGAAACUCAAAGGAAUUGACGGGGGCCCGCACAAGCGGUGGAGUAUGUGGUUUAAUUCGAUGCAACGCGAAGAACCUUACCAGGGUUUGACAUCCUGCGAACCUCUUAGAAAUUUGAGGGUGCCUUCGGGAAUGCAGUGACAGGUGGUGCAUGGCUGUCGUCAGCUCGUGUCGUGAGAUGUUGGGUUAAGUCCCGCAACGAGCGCAACCCACGUUUUUAGUUGCCAGCAUUUAGUUGGGCACUCUAGAAAGACCGCCGGUGAUAAACCGGAGGAAGGUGUGGAUGACGUCAAGUCAUCAUGCCCCUUACACCCUGGGCUACACACGUACUACAAUGCUACGGACAAAGGGCAGCAAACUCGCGAGAGCUAGCAAAUCCCAUAAACCGUGGCUCAGUUCAGAUCGUAGGCUGCAACUCGCCUACGUGAAGUAGGAAUCGCUAGUAAUCGCAGGUCAGCAUACUGCGGUGAAUACGUUCCCGGGCCUUGUACACACCGCCCGUCACACCAUGGAAGUUGGCCAUGCCCGAAGUCGUUACUCCAACCCUUGUGGAGGAGGACGCCGAAGGUGGGGCUAAUGACUGG